Molecule: non-coding RNA, 859 nt
Organism: Salvia hispanica
Lineage: Eukaryota; Viridiplantae; Streptophyta; Magnoliopsida; Lamiales; Lamiaceae
Source: RefSeq, a predicted model, not a curated record
CCUCAAUAUUUACCGCAAUUAGAAAUGAUGUGAGAGAAGCUCCCACUUCUCUCUACUUGCUACUGCCGCCGCUACCACGCUCCAGCGCCGCCGUCCGUCGCCGCCUCCGGCGGCGCCUCUCCUCCGUCUUCCCCUCUUCUCUUCUCCAUCACCCCCUCCUCUCUCUCUCUCUCUCUCCCCCUCUAAUCUCUCCCCUUCGCGCGCGGCAGCUCGCCUUCGCGGCCUUCGAUCUCCCCCUCUCGGAUUUCGCCGCCAUCACCGCCAUGCACCGACAGGUAAGAGUUGUGAAGGCUGCGAUUUUAGAGAUGGAUUUGGGAUGGGGGCUGUUAUUGUCGUCUCCGGGCUGCCGAAGAGCCGUCGCCGGAAAUCCGGCAGAUUUGUGCUAACGAGAUAAGCUUCCUCAUUCUUUCUAGUUAUUAAGGCAGUAGGAUUCUACUUUGGUUCUAUUUACUGAAUUUGGUGAUUUGUGAGUAUAUGCCUUGCUAUUUGGAAGAUGGUGAAAUAUGUUGUUAAGCUUAUUGUGGCAGAUUCUAUUUUCUAAUUAAAUGCAUAUGCUUGUACAUAGAUGAAAGAAAAGAAAGGCUUGGUGUUUACCUUUUGAGGUGGGAACUGGGAACAAAGUGUUGUUGGAUUGUAGGGCUUGAUCCUACGAUUAUCUUAAAUAGCAUCUAUUUAUGGAGCAUGGGCUAUCCUCGUCGAUGUAUCGGCUUUCCUCGGAGCUUGAGCACGACCGUUGAGCGGCUGCCCGAACUUGCACGCCUAUCUCUUAUUGUAAAAGAUUAGGAUUUGGUUGUAUCGUAUAUUUUAAUCGGACUUCUCGUAUCAUGUACUAUUAUUUGUAUUUAUUAUUUUAAAUUAA